This 253-nucleotide ribosomal RNA is filed under the name uncultured bacterium. RNAcentral's name for it is "partial 16S ribosomal RNA". It matches the Rfam family "Bacterial small subunit ribosomal RNA", at positions 524 to 776 of the family's 1533-position model. The record is from RNAcentral.
UACAGAGGUCCCAAGCGUUGUUCGGAUUCAUUGGGCGUAAAGGGUGCGUAGGCGGCGCGGUAAGUCGGGUGUGAAAUCUCGGAGCUUAACUCCGAAACUGCAUUCGAUACUGCCGUGCUUGAGGACUGGAGAGGAGACUGGAAUUUACGGUGUAGCGGUGAAAUGCGUAGAUAUCGUAAGGAAGACCAGUGGCGAAGGCGGGUCUCUGGACAGUUCCUGACGCUGAGGCGCGAAAGCUAGGGGAGCAAACGGG